Molecule: long non-coding RNA, 3177 nt
Organism: Siniperca chuatsi (mandarin fish)
Lineage: Eukaryota; Metazoa; Chordata; Actinopteri; Centrarchiformes; Sinipercidae
Exons: 2
Source: RefSeq, a predicted model, not a curated record
UAAGCUAGAGGCUGAAGUUGUGUUCAGGAGCAGCAGGGCUGUUUUGACUAAGCCAUCUCAGCAAGGGCCCGGUCAUGGAGACUCCCAGCAUUUGUUAAAGAUUAACGGCCUAGUCCUGAUGUACUGAGCUCAGGUCAGGCAGAGUGCAGGGCUCGGACGUGAGGCGAGUUUCACCCUAUCUCUCCCAUCUGCAGCUCUCACACAGCAUAUUUACUAGUCCGGGUACAUGAGACACACUGAAUAAUGUGAUUAAAGGUUUUGGAGUUCGCUGAGGGGAGAUUGUACAGAAGUUGUCCCUUCAGGAGGCAGCCUUACCCUGUUUGUCAGACAGUCACCAAAGUCAUGCCACAGAGGCACUUAGAGCAUAUACCACAAAGUAAUAAGCAUAUCAAGAUUGUCCUUCCUACAUUAUAUGUUAAAGUUUCCUACUCUGCAGACCAUCUGCCACAUUUGCAUACCUUCUGUGUGUCAUGUUUUGGUUGGUUUCUAUUGCAUGGGAGUGUACUAUCAGAUGUGAACACUUCCAGUCAGAGUAUCUACGCUGAAUAAAGGAAUAACAAUGGCCCACAUGCUCUCAGCCUAUCAUUAGCCAAAAGACUAAAUGAAAACCAACUGUGUGGGAACAAUAAAAUAAUUUGUCAAGGGAGAAGGGUGCAGAUAAAUUCUGCAAAGCAUUUUCCAAUUGGCUGAGGCUCUGGUACGCUGGGCCAAGUGCUCAGCACCUGGCUGUCACGGCUCUGACGCUGCCUAAUUAAUUUCAACAUUUCAAACACAUGCCUAUUAGAUCACUGUCGAUACGAGCUAAAAGUGCCUGAUUAGGCUUUUUAUCGGUAUUAGUCAACAUGUGCUGUGAGCUGACUUUUUAAGGGCAAAAGUUAGAUAAACAGAAAGGAGAGAAGAGCGAAAUCUUGCUCUCCUCUACUCCCUAUAUCUGUCCACUAAAUCUGUGACUCAACUUCAGUGAGGACAUAAUGGGGAGAAAGCCAGGUACUCAUCCUAAAUAUUCUUGUCAAAAACUCCUGGUGAUAUAUAAGAGACAUUUCCUGCUACAGGAAGGUUUAUUGGUUACUGAAGCCGUGUGAACCCAUGUGUCUUGUCUGUGAGGAUCCAAGAAUCUCAGCAUAUCAGUUUUAAGCUGACAGCUGCGAGGGCCCAGUCAGCUCUCUGCCCCGCUCUGGCAGAGGCAGCACAGCGGCGGACGGCCGUCUUAACUGCCACAGUCAGAGUGGAGCGGAUUUUUCUUUGAUGAAACACAGCAGCAUCGAGCCAAGAACAGCAAGUGGCGCAGCCGAGAUGUAAAUCAAAAACCCACCCGUGUGCUAAGUCAUACACAGAAAGGUCUGCAAGAGGAGUCGCUGCUGUCUGAAAAUGCAUGAGUAAUACAGACUCUAUAGACGUGUGGUGAGCUGUGGCAUGUCUGUCCAGGCGAAAAGAAUCAGAGAAGUAGAGAAGUAUCUUUAUCUUUUGCUCCAAAUAGUUAAGGUAAAACAAAUCUGGUCUAAUUCACAAGACCUGGCAGCUAAUUCCCCUCAUCAGUGAAAGUGUAGUGUGUGAAACUUUGUGAGUACUUCUCAAGGCAAGGUUAAGGCUAAAAAUACAUUUUUAUGAUGACAUAUCUGAGCCAACUCUGCAGCUUUCUCUUGAUUAAACUGAGGCCCAGAGCACAUUUCUUCUGGUAUUCCAGUGAUAUUUCAACACUUACUCAAACCAGAUCAUAUUUUUACUGUGUGACUGGUUGGAUUCAUUGGCAGAAUGAAAGUCAGAAUGCCUUUGGUUGCAGUGAGAUGCCAUAGUCAUACCACACUGGUCACAUAAGAAUGAGAACAUUUGACCUGACUAACACUGACUAUGAAGAAGGAAAAGGACAACGGAGAGGCAGCAGUGCUAAAAUUCUGUCGUUUAUUUGUGGGUUCUGCACAUGCUCAUUUUGCAACUUCAGAGGACUAAUCAGAAGAAAGAGUCACAACCUCCCAUAAAGCUCCUUCUCUCUCUUUGAAUCCAACCUCAGUCAAGUUGAUGCAACACUCAUCUCUUCCUCUGCCACUUAUCUCCUGUUUCCACAGACGUCAUGUGUACUCCUGGCCAAGUUUGAUUGAGGUGAUUCAGCCAAGCAGAUGCCAGACCAGGGAUGUUCUCUCACUCUCCCUCUCUAGUGGCUGUGACUCAGGAAGCGCCCUCAUUCCAUUACCCAGCAUUCCCUCGUCAGCUUCUCAGCCAGACAGAGGUUUAUGGGAAUACCGCUGCAGAAUCAUCACCGGGCCUCAACUUUAUGAAUCAGUGGAACAUGCUGCAAACAUUACACCCUGCAACACCCUUCCCAGGCAGCACCCUCACAUUUGCCCAUAACUCACUGCUGAGCUCAUACAAGACGCAAAGACGUGGGCUGAGGCGCUCUCUUUGGCUUAUGGGAAUGUACUGACUGGUGAGAAAACUUGUGAAAAGAAUGUUACUAUCACUGUACUGCUUUGAUAUACAUUAUACAACUAUAGUUCCACACGAUUUAGAGGCACAAAUGCAGAAAGAGAGCAUGUCUGACUGUUUGUUAGUAAUGCCAAAAAAUGUACUAUAUAAUCUUUCUAUAUAUAUAUAAUUUAUAUAUAAUCUUACACCGUCUAUAUAAUCUUUUCACAAUUCGGUAAAAAAAAAAAUCUUGGUUAACCUCGGCCGUGAAACUAAGCGAACCACAAGUUCAAUAAAAGGUCAGAUCUCUUUUAGCAGCAGUGACGGCAAAAUGUUUCCUCUGAGGGUUCAUCAGUCUUUCACAACAUCUGGGAGGAAUAUCUGCUAUAACCUUGCCCGCUGCUACAACCUUUUGGUAUAUUGGCCGACAGUGAUGUUUAGAUCCUCAGUUACUCUGUCAAACCUAAACUGUACUUAAUAAAUAGAUAUUUUGGUGCUCAAUCUAACAUGUUCUCUUUUCCACAGAGAAAAGAUCAACAAAGGUGGCAGGGAUUCAGUGUUUUGCUAACAAUUUAGCAAGGAAAAAAAUAAUAUUUGCUUCAGGAUGAGAAAGGAAUGAUUAUAUUGUUAUAACAGGGACAAAUGUGAAUGUGAAAGUGGCACAAAACCAACAUUUUUAGAUGUUUGUGUAUCUGAGGAUUUGGAUAUCAGCAAUAAUUGAUUUUCAGCUUUGCUAGAGUACAAUACAAGAAUUAAAAUUUUUAAGAAAGACGAAAA